This 484-nucleotide ribosomal RNA is filed under the name uncultured bacterium. Its description in RNAcentral is "partial 16S ribosomal RNA". It matches the Rfam family "Bacterial small subunit ribosomal RNA", at positions 30 to 507 of the family's 1533-position model. The record is from RNAcentral.
AUUGAACGCUGGCGGCAGGCCUAACACAUGCAAGUCGAGCGGAUGAAGGGAGCUUGCUCCUGGAUUCAGCGGCGGACGGGUGAGGAAUGCCUAGGAAUCUGCCUGGUAGUGGGGGAUAUCGUCCGGAAACGGGCGCUAAUACCGCAUACGUCCUGUGGGAGAAAGUGGGGGAUCUUCGGACCUCACGCUAUCAGAUGAGCCUAGGGCGGAUUAGCUAGUUGGUGGGGUAAAGGCCUACCAAGGCGACGAUCCGUAACUGGUCUGAGAGGAUGAUCAGUCACACUGGAACUGAGACACGGUCCAGACUCCUACGGGAGGCAGCAGUGGGGAAUAUUGGACAAUGGGCGAAAGCCUGAUCCAGCCAUGCCGCGUGUGUGAAGAAGGUCUUCGGAUUGUAGAGCACUUUAAGUUGGGAGGAAGGGCAGUAAGUUAAUACCUUGCUGUUUUGACGUUACCAACAGAAUAAGCACCGGCUAACUUCGUG